CAUCGAAUUAUGGUGCGGAUAGUAUU
RNAcentral lists this small RNA (26 nucleotides) under Bombyx mori (domestic silkworm). RNAcentral's name for it is "ovarian small RNA-13408". The record is from RNAcentral. Lineage: Eukaryota; Metazoa; Arthropoda; Insecta; Lepidoptera; Bombycidae.